AUGUAAGAAUUUAAAGGUCGAACAGACCUAUAUAUUAAGCGGCUACACCUAAUUAUUAUCUUAAUCCAACAUCGAGGUCGCAAGCCUUCCCGUAAAUAUGAACUCUGGAGGAAGAUUACGCUGUUAUCCCUAAGGUAACUUAAUCUAACAAUCAAUAAUAAUGGAUCUAAUAUUCAUAAAUCAAUGUUAAUUUAAAUAAAAAAGUUAAUUAUAUAUUUUUGUCACCCCAACAAAAUAAUUAAAACAAUAAUAAUAAAUGAUAUAACAAAAAAUAAUUAAUGCAUCAAUUAUAAAGCUCUAUAGGGUCUUCUCGUCUUCCAAUAUAAUUUCAGCCUUUUGACUGAAAAGUUAAAUUCUAAAUACAAAUUAAAUGAGACAGUCAACACCUCGUCAAACCCUUCAUACCAGCCCCCUAUUAAAAGACUAAUGAUUAUGCUACCUUUGCACAGUCAAAAUACUGCGGCCGUUAAAAUAAUUUUCACCGGGCAGGUCAGACCUCAUAUAUAAACAAGAGGCCAUGUUUUUGAUAAACAGGCGAGUGUUAAAAUUGCCGAAUUCCUUAUUUAAUUAUAUCAAAAAAUAAAUGAUAAACAACAAACAAAUAUACUAAUUUAAUCAUUAUUACAAAUUUUAUAAAAUUAAAAAUAUCAUUUUAAUAAAAUACUAAAAUAAAGAAAAUCAUAAAUUUCACUUAUUUGAACUACAACGAACUCUUUAAUGAUAGCUGAUUUAAAGCCUACAAAAAUUAAAUAAAAUAAAAUUUCUAGAAUAAUAUUAGAGCUUAUCCCCUAAUAUCUUAAUCUCAAUUAAUAAGUAAUUAAUAAAUAAAUUACUUAAAAAUUAAAGUCUAAAUUAAAUUUACUUCUUAAAAAACU
RNAcentral lists this ribosomal RNA (875 nucleotides) under Dromogomphus spinosus. RNAcentral's name for it is "partial large subunit ribosomal RNA". The record is from RNAcentral. Lineage: Eukaryota; Metazoa; Arthropoda; Insecta; Odonata; Gomphidae.